UAAAUAGCUUUUCUCCGAGCCGGUCGAACCUACGGGCGAAAAACGGCCUAUGGUAGCCGGCCUGGGUUCCUAAAGAACCCACGGGGUAUGCCGGGAAACGGGCAUGCCUCCCUACGCUCGGAAAGGAGAAAGGCCUUGCCUAGU
Molecule: non-coding RNA, 144 nt
Filed under: Thermanaeromonas toyohensis
Lineage: Bacteria; Bacillati; Bacillota; Clostridia; Neomoorellales; Neomoorellaceae
Also listed under: 1 other name
Description: MoCo sequence
Rfam family: Molybdenum/Tungsten riboswitch aptamer (Moco RNA motif)
Source: RNAcentral